This 480-nucleotide ribosomal RNA is filed under the name uncultured bacterium. Its description in RNAcentral is "partial 16S ribosomal RNA". It matches the Rfam family "Bacterial small subunit ribosomal RNA", at positions 28 to 523 of the family's 1533-position model. The record is from RNAcentral.
GACGAACGCUGGCGGCGUGCCUAACACAUGCAAGUCGAGCGAGUGAAUCUUCUUCGGGAGUGAAGCUAGCGGCGGACGGGUGAGUAACACGUGGGCAACCUACCUCAUAGAGGGGAAUAGCCUUCCGAAAGGAAGAUUAAUACCGCAUAAGAUUGUAGCUUCGCAUGAAGUAGCAAUUAAAGGAGCAAUCUGCUAUGAGAUGGGCCCGCGGCGCAUUAGCUAGUUGGUGAGGUAACGGCUCACCAAGGCGACGAUGCGUAGCCGACCUGAGAGGGUGAUCGGCCACAUUGGGACUGAGACACGGCCCAGACUCCUACGGGAGGCAGCAGUGGGGAAUAUUGCACAAUGGGGGAAACCCUGACGCAGCAACGCCGCGUGAGUGAUGACGGCCUUCGGGUUGUAAAGCUCUGUCUUCAGGGACGAUAAUGACGGUACCUGAGGAGGAAGCCACGGCUAACUACGUGCCAGCCGCCGCGGUAA